CCUACGGGUGGCAGCAGUAGGGAAUCUUCGGCAAUGGACGAAAGUCUGACCGAGCAACGCCGCGUGAGUGAAGAAGGUUUUCGGAUCGUAAAACUCUGUUGGUAGAGAAGAACGUUGGUGAGAGUGGAAAGCUCAUCAAGUGCCGGUAACUAACCAGAAAGGGACGGCUACCUACGUGCAAGCAGCCGCGGUAAUACGAAGGUCCCGAGCGUUGUCCGGAUUUACGGGGCGUAAGGCGGGCGAGGGGGGUUUAUUAGGGCGGUUGUAAAAGGCAGUGGCUCAACCAUUGUAUGCAUUGGAAACUGGGAGACUUGAGUGCAGGAGAGGAGAGUGGAAUUCCAUGUGUAGCGGUGAAAUGCGUAGAUAUAUGGAGGAACACCGGAGGCGAAGGCGGCUCUCUGGCCUGUAACUGACACUGAGGCUCGAAAGCGUGGGGAGCAAACAGGAUUAGAUACCCGAGUAGUC
Molecule: ribosomal RNA, 465 nt
Filed under: uncultured Lactococcus sp.
Lineage: Bacteria; Bacillati; Bacillota; Bacilli; Lactobacillales; Streptococcaceae
Description: bacterial SSU rRNA
Rfam family: Bacterial small subunit ribosomal RNA
Source: RNAcentral